RNAcentral lists this transfer RNA (64 nucleotides) under Antarctophthirus carlinii. RNAcentral describes it as "tRNA-Leu". RNAcentral also lists the same sequence under 1 other name. The record is from RNAcentral. Lineage: Eukaryota; Metazoa; Arthropoda; Insecta; Psocodea; Echinophthiriidae.
UACCAAAUUGGCAGAGUAGUGCGCUGAAGUUAAGUUUCAGAUAAAAGUUAACCUUAUUUGGUAA